This is a non-coding RNA of Paralichthys olivaceus (Japanese flounder), 3665 nucleotides long. The record is from RefSeq and is a predicted model, not a curated record. NCBI's taxonomy places the organism in Eukaryota, Metazoa, Chordata, Actinopteri, Pleuronectiformes, Paralichthyidae.
UGUAUUUAUAUGAUAGACGUUCUGAACAAACUGUCAGAGUCGGUCUGAUGGAGAUCAGCCUGGUCACACGAUCUGACGUAGACGUAGAGCUUCAUUAGUGUCAUCCAAUCAGAAGCUGUGUGUUAUUUUCAAAGUGUGAAGGUGUGUGUUGAGAAAGUGAAGUUUUUCUUCUGGUCUCAGGAGGAUGAGGAAGACUAUGCAGAGGAAGAGGAGGAGGAAGAGGACCAGCCGGGCGUUCAGGGACAGAAGAGAAAGAGAGACGUGGAUGAUGAAGGCGAGGAGGAAGACGACGACGACGAUGAAGACGACUAGUCCUUCAAUCAACUCGUCGUCUGUGUGUCGUCCUGUUUCUGUCCGUCUCAGUCCACCUCCGGACCCGACCUCCGCCAGACAACAAUCACUGCAACCAUGGCAACAACAUCAGCAGCAACAGGAACGGUGAUCUGAAAUAGUCCCUUUCAGUUUGCAGUAGAAAAUCACGUCUUUGUUUUUAGAUAAUAUAAGAAGAUUCGAUCAGAACUUUACCUGAUGGUUCUCAGCUGAAGACUCAACACGUUUCCCUUUAAAACCUGGUUCAGGGUCAAAGCAUCCGUCUGUCCCAUAAGUCCGUCUCCACAUCCUGAGCCUGAACCCCGACCCUCGUCUCAUCGUCGGCUAGACGUCUGAAUCUGAAGUUCUGGUGUGAACCAACUCCUUGUUAAAGAACAGGUGUGAAAACCAAAACACACUUUGUCUCCAGGGCUGACGACUCUUCUUCUUCUUCUUCUUCUCCUGUAAACAGGUUUAGUUUUACCAGGCAGGUGGGUGAGCACUGACGCCCCCUAGUUUUCAGCUGUUGUACUGAGCAGCUUUUCCAGUCCAGACUACAAGAAGUGUUCCAGCACCUGAUGGUCUCAUUUCAUCAGGUUACCAUAGUUACCAAAUGAUUGUGUACCGACACAGAAGAAAAGCAGUUUGUGAUGUAAACUUUAAAGUGAAGAUGGUGGUUGUUGCUGUUACUGGAUGAUUCCUCUAGAGGGCACCACAGCAGUAAAAUCCAACAGAACCACCUGAUCUAUGUGACCUACAUGAUAAACAUGGCAAAUUUUGACAUUAGAAUUUGUUUAGAAUUGUCUCGGGGAACCACCGAUGGAUUCAAUUCUGUGCCGAGCUCAGACUGACUUGCGGUAAGAACUCGGUAACUCUCUCAGAUUGUUUGUGUUUAUUUUUGCAGGAUCAACCUUUAAAAUAGCUGACUGAUAUUUUGACGAGCAUGUUAUUGUCACUGUGUGGCAGGAACACCGCACUGCACAGACCACUCACCCGACACUGCCCCCUAUGGUUCAUGUACAUACUGCCUCUUGAAUACAGAUGGCGUUAAAUUCUGAGGGCGUGCUCUCAUGGAAGUUGACAUCGUGCACACAAACCCAGUGUUAAAAAGAAGCUCAUCUCCGACAGAUCAGAGCAGAUCAGUUUCACAGUCAUAUAAUCACCGUGACGACAUCCUGGGACUAAAACUCUUGUAGUCUGAACUGGACUCAGUUUGUUUUCUACGUUUUGAACGUCUGAGCUGAUCCUCAGUCGUCCUGAAUGUACAAACGUUAGUUUCACCUCCAACAAACCCGACUUCUCGUAUCAGGACCUUCUUCUUCACAGGUUUUUACAGAUUUAUCUUCAUCACAUCGUUCUUCUCUGAGCCUCAGACCAACAUCUGAUCUCAUCCAACAAAAACUUGUCGUUCAGGAUCAGAACUCUGUUCUUUCUGCAGCCAUAUCAGUCUCUGGACUCUGACUGGAGUGGAGAGCGCCCUCUUCAGGAGCUCCUUGUGUCUUACACCCAAUCAAGACGUCUCAUGUUUCCGUGUUGAACGGUUCAGGAUCUUCAUUCGCCGUCACGUUUCAGUCCGAUAAACUCCCUGACGUGGACGGGUCACGUGACUCUGCCGUCUCACAGUUGACAUAUGCAGACCUGCCGUCGCUCAGGUCCACAAAGAUCAUCUGAUUAAUAUUCCCAGUGUGUGUUUGAUUUAUUGUGGGGAUUCUUCAGGGAAGAUUAGGGGGCGGGUGGGGUGAAGUUGUAGUUUGGGUGUGUUUGUUUUUGAAGUUAACAGCAGCCUGUUUUUUGUCCCCGUCAGCAGCUGUUGAUGUUUUUAGUUUGAUGUAAAACUGAGCGUCUCGUCCUCAAACAGCCCGUCCCCUCGCGAUAUUCAGACCACUGCCGCUGUUGUCACACUUCAGGCUCCGCCUCCUAAACACAACCCUUUGAACCUGACGGAAAAGAGUGGUGCGUUCAGGUGCCAGUUUACUGGCAGGUUUGAGGCGAGCAGUGAGUCUGUGACGUGUCUCUGAGUUGUUACGCAAUGAUGCCUUCACUGACACCUGCUCAGCUUCCGACUCUACGACGCUGUCACCUGUCACAGGUGUGCAGUGGAUUAUGGGAUAUUAAGGACUAAAGACAGCUGACUUCCAAUGUUUCUCAGAGUGUGGUUGAGCUGGUUGCAGGGGGCGGAGUUUGAACGUGACACACCUGUUGUGUAUUUUCUACUUUCUCCUGCUUCAGUCACAGAAACAAACCUGCUCACAAACUGAAAAACUCAUCAUCAGAACAAUUAGACUCAAAAAUGAAUCUCAAGAGGAAACGUUCUCCCACGAUGUCGAGCGCUGGCGGUUUUUUUAUCAGGUGAGUCAGGUUUGUUCCUGAAGCUGCUCAGUUCGGGCUUUUAUCUAAACUGCUGUAAACUUUUAGCUUUUCUCUCAUUUUACACUUUUGAAAAUGGUAUCGUUUGAAAACAUCCACGUGUCUGGUUCUAACAUUCUCCACUUUUUUAGUUUUGACUCAGGAUGAAUUUUGAAUCAUAACUUUUAAACUGUUUCUAUCUUUUUUAUUCCAUCUCUUAGAAACAUACGAGUGUAAAUCUUCUGUGGACACAAAUUGAAGCUGAUGGUUUUCUAUGAGCUUCAGAUCAGCCACUAAAUGAACUGAGUUUGUUUAAGUAUCUUUACAUUUUGAAUUCAAUCAAAUUUGAUUUAAUGUGCAAACAUUAAUAAAUUCUACAGUUUUCUGUUUGAAGAAAAACGAUGAACACUCGAUCUGUGAGAUAAAAGUGUUCAAGUCCUCCACUGGUGACUUCUCAUUUUUAAAUUCUUGAACUUUUAUUGUCUAAAUCAUUUUCCGUGUUACUUGAUUAUUUGAAAAAGUGAUCAGCUUCAAAAUCAAAUGUUGAAAUUAGUUUGACUCUUGGCUCCUUGGUGCGACGCCAGUGAGGGAUCAAGUCAGAGUUUUGCACCAGGGACCUUGAAUAAAAUCAUGAAUCAGACAAACGUGAGCACGAGGAUGUUUUAACGUGUUGUUUUUAAGAGUGUAGAUGUUGAGGGACACGUGUGUCAGACCUGCUGACGUCAGGUUUUAACUGGUUUUUAAGGCAAUAUUGUAAAUACACUCAGCUCAGUUUCAGGUUGGUUUUUAUUUUGUUAAAGACUUAAAUCAUUUUAAGGAUGUUUGUGUUUCUACAGCGAGGUGAUAGUUGAGCCUUUGACCUUUGACCCCAGCUCGCUCCUCUGUCAGCUGUUAGCAUCCUCCUUCGUCCCGUCUGUGGGAAAAACUGUGUUUGACUUUUUGUGUGAUGUAACAGAAACAGUACUGAGGGGUUUUCAAUAAAAUAUAUAAAAGAAAAACGUGUGAAACUG